GAUGAACGCUGGCGGCGUGCCUAAUACAUGCAAGUCGAGCGAACAGACGAGGAGCUUGCUCCUCUGACGUUAGCGGCGGACGGGUGAGUAACACGUGGAUAACCUACCUAUAAGACUGGGAUAACUUCGGGAAACCGGAGCUAAUACCGGAUAAUAUAUUGAACCGCAUGGUUCAAUAGUGAAAGACGGUUUUGCUGUCACUUAUAGAUGGAUCCGCGCCGCAUUAGCUAGUUGGUAAGGUAACGGCUUACCAAGGCAACGAUGCGUAGCCGACCUGAGAGGGUGAUCGGCCACACUGGAACUGAGACACGGUCCAGACUCCUACGGGAGGCAGCAGUAGGGAAUCUUCCGCAAUGGGCGAAAGCUUGACGGAGCAACGCCGCGUGAGUGAUGAAGGUCUUCGGAUCGUAAAACUCUGUUAUUGGGGAGGAACAAAUGUGUAAGUAACUAUGCACGUCUUGACGGUACCUAAUCAGAAAGCCACGGCUAACUACGUG
Molecule: ribosomal RNA, 497 nt
Filed under: uncultured bacterium
Lineage: Bacteria
Description: partial 16S ribosomal RNA
Rfam family: Bacterial small subunit ribosomal RNA
Source: RNAcentral